RNAcentral lists this transfer RNA (72 nucleotides) under Gossypium hirsutum (cotton). It matches the Rfam family "tRNA". From Rfam's summary of the family: Transfer RNA (tRNA) molecules are approximately 80 nucleotides in length. Their secondary structure includes four short double-helical elements and three loops (D, anti-codon, and T loops). Further hydrogen bonds mediate the characteristic L-shaped molecular structure. tRNAs have two regions of fundamental functional importance: the anti-codon, which is responsible for specific mRNA codon recognition, and the 3' end, to which the tRNAs corresponding amino acid is attached (by aminoacyl-tRNA synthetases). tRNAs cope with the degeneracy of the genetic code in two manners: having more than one tRNA (with a specific anti-codon) for a particular amino acid; and 'wobble' base-pairing, i.e. permitting non-standard base-pairing at the 3rd anti-codon position. Lineage: Eukaryota; Viridiplantae; Streptophyta; Magnoliopsida; Malvales; Malvaceae. The record is from Rfam by way of RNAcentral.
GGGCGUUUGGUCUAGUGGUAUGAUUUUUGCUUUGGGUGCGAGAGGUUACGAGUUCGAUUCUCGGAACGCCCC